This is a non-coding RNA of Camellia sinensis, 1697 nucleotides long. NCBI's taxonomy places the organism in Eukaryota, Viridiplantae, Streptophyta, Magnoliopsida, Ericales, Theaceae. The record is from RefSeq and is a predicted model, not a curated record.
UACCCCCCUAAGGAUAUACUAUCUACUCUAAAAAAUUGCAAUCAUGAAUCAUGAUGCUUUAUUAAGUUGACUUGUUAUUUUCAUAACACACAGUAGGGGACUUCAUGUCUCUCAAUAUUCCCAUGCGCCUAUUAUAUUUGAUACUUAGUGGUUGAUGCUUAUCUUCUUGGCUUUUUGAAUGGGAUAAUGGGAAGGAAGGGAGCGGGAUACGGAAUUGAUAGUUUAACGCCUGCAUUUUAUUUCAUCACUAGCAUUACUUCUUUGGUUUCAUUAAUUGUUAUCUUGGAAGCUUCAGGCAUUUUAUGGCUUUCAAGUUGUGGUUUUUAUGUUUAUUAUUUCUAGCAUGGUUCAGAUUUCUAUAAUAUUCAUUAUUUUCUUGUGAGUUCGAAAAUAAAUAUUGCAGGAUCCUGAAGGUCUUUUUCCAUGUAUUCUUGGUCAUGAAGCUACUGGGAUUGUAGAGAGUGUUGGCGAAGGUGUAACUGAAGUUAAGCCCGAAGACCAUGUCAUACCUUGUUACCAGGCAGAAUGUAGGGAAUGCAAGUUUUGCAAAUCGGGGAAGACAAAUUUAUGUGGCAAAGUUAGGGCUGCCACUGGAGUUGGAGUCAUGAUGACUGACCGUAAGAGUCGUUUCUCCGUCAAUGGAACUCCCAUUUAUCAUUUUAUGGGAACUUCGACAUUUAGUCAGUACACUGUUGUCCAUGAUGUUAGUGUUGCAAAGAUUGAUUUAAAUGCCCCAUUGGAGAAAGUGUGCCUUCUUGGUUGUGGUGUUCCCACUGGUAAGCAACUCUUUUGCUUCCAAAUAUAAAUGGUUUUACACUCUAGGGCUUAAUCUUCUUACUAGCUAAUAAAGUGUAUUCAUAAUAAGUUUUACCUUCCCAUAAAUCCUAUGUGCUUGGUUUCAGUUCUACCGGCUUGCUGAGAUUUGAAUCCAAUGGUAUAAUGCAUUUUUUACAUAUGCUACUGAAAUGUGUGUGCUACUAAGGUGUCUUGCUGAGAGAGUCUAUGGUGUUCUGUUCUUAUACUGUAUAACUUCAAAUUGCUCCGAGCUCAUUGUACCAUUUACUUUUUCGGAAUGAAAUCAUGGGAUUGUUGCUAAGAUAUCCAAUAUUUUGCACUCUUUUGAAAAUGUAGGAUAAUUUUGUGAUGGUGUCCUAUCAAAUAUUAUAUGUCGCAGCUACUGUUAAUGACAUGAUAGCGGUUUAUGGCUUCUUAAUUUAAAUUACUAUCAUUUGUAAUCUAAUAUUCAAUUAUCUAAUUGAAUGUAUUAUAUAUUUGUUGUCUCUUAGGUCUUCGAGCAGUUUGGAACACAGCAAAAGUAUAACCAGGUUCCAUUGUUGCUGUUUUUGGCCUUGGGACUGUUGGCCUUGCAGUGAGUUUUUGAACCAUCAGGCCAUAUUUUCUUGUGCUGACUGCCAUACUUGUAUGACAUAAAUAAUUAGAGUAUUACUUGAUAGGUGGCAGAGGGGGCAAAAGCAGCUGGUGCUUCGCGAAUUAUUGGUGUCGAUAUUGACAGCAAAAAGUUUGAUAUAGGGGCUGAUUUUGGCUUUGUUUGGAAUAGAGUGGGUUUUCCAUAGAGAUGUGGUAGGGAUCAUGCUUGGAUGAUGGCGGAAGGGUGUGGAAGCGUAUGCAGGAGAUGACAUUUGGCUCCUCUGUGUUUGCUGCGGCUUUUAUGGAGGGAGGUAAAAAUGAGGGUGUUU